RNAcentral lists this ribosomal RNA (287 nucleotides) under uncultured Coxiella sp. Its description in RNAcentral is "partial 16S ribosomal RNA". It matches the Rfam family "Bacterial small subunit ribosomal RNA", at positions 1125 to 1411 of the family's 1533-position model. Lineage: Bacteria; Pseudomonadati; Pseudomonadota; Gammaproteobacteria; Legionellales; Coxiellaceae. The record is from RNAcentral.
GUUCGGCCGGGAACUCUAAGGAGACUGCCGGUGAUAAACCGGAGGAAGGUGGGGAUGAUGUCAAGUCAUCAUGGCCCUUACGGGUAGGGCUACACACGUGCUACAAUGGGCAGUACAAAGGGUUGCCAAACUGCGAGGUAAAGCUAAUCCCAAAAAACUGCUCGUAGUCCGGAUUGGAGUCUGCAACUCGACUCCAUGAAGCUGGAAUCGCUAGUAAUCGCGAAUCAGAAUGUCGCGGUGAAUACGUUCUCGGGCCUUGUACACACCGCCCGUCACACCAUGGGAGU